AUUGAACGCUGGCGGCAGGCCUAACACAUGCAAGUCGAGCGGAUGAAGGGAGCUUGCUCCUGGAUUCAGCGGCGGACGGGUGAGUAAUGCCUAGGAAUCUGCCUGGUAGUGGGGGAUAACGUCCGGAAACGGGCGCUAAUACCGCCUACGUCCUGAGGGAGAAAGUGGGGGAUCUUCGGACCUCACGCCAUCAGAUGAGCCUAGGUCGGAUUAGCUAGUUGGUGGGGUAAAGGCCUACCAAGGCGACGAUCCGUAACUGGUCUGAGAGGAUGAUCAGUCACACUGGAACUGAGACACGGUCCAGACUCCUACGGGAGGCAGCAGUGGGGAAUAUUGGACAAUGGGCGAAAGCCUGAUCCAGCCAGGCCGCGUGUGUGAAGAAGGUCUUCGGAUUGUAAAGCACUUUAAGUUGGGAGGAAGGGCAGUAAGUUAAUACCUUGCUGUUUUGACGUUACCAACAGAAUAAGCACCGGCUAACUUCGUG
RNAcentral lists this ribosomal RNA (484 nucleotides) under uncultured bacterium. RNAcentral describes it as "partial 16S ribosomal RNA". It matches the Rfam family "Bacterial small subunit ribosomal RNA", at positions 30 to 507 of the family's 1533-position model. The record is from RNAcentral.